Molecule: ribosomal RNA, 468 nt
Filed under: uncultured bacterium
Lineage: Bacteria
Description: partial 16S ribosomal RNA
Rfam family: Bacterial small subunit ribosomal RNA
Source: RNAcentral
GACGAACGCUGGCGGCGUGCUUAACACAUGCAAGUCGAACGGAAAGGCCCUGCUUUUGUGGGUUGCUCGAUUGGCGAACGGGUGAGUAACACGUGAGUAACCUGCCCUUGACUUUGGGAUAACUUCAGGAAACUGGGGCUAAUACCGGAUAGGAGCUCCUGCUGCAUGGUGGGGGUUGGAAAGUUUCGGCGGUUGGGGAUGGACUCGCGGCUUAUCAGCUUGUUGGUGGGGUAGUGGCUUACCAAGGCUUUGACGGGUAGCCGGCCUGAGAGGGUGACCGGCCACAUUGGGACUGAGAGACGGCCCAGAAUCCUACGGGAGGCAGCAGUGGGGAAUAUUGCACAAUGGGCGGAAGCCUGAUGCAGCAACGCCGCGUGCGGGAUGACGGCCUUCGGGUUGUAAACAGCUGUCGCCUGUGACGAAGCGUGAGUGACGGUAAUGGGUAAAGAAGCACCGGCUAACUACGUG